This 437-nucleotide ribosomal RNA is filed under the name uncultured bacterium. RNAcentral's name for it is "bacterial SSU rRNA". It matches the Rfam family "Bacterial small subunit ribosomal RNA", at positions 28 to 505 of the family's 1533-position model. The record is from RNAcentral.
GAUGAACGCUGGCGGCGUGGAUAAGGCAUGCAAGUCGCGCGCACCUUCGGGUGAGCGGCAAACGGGGUAGUAUAAGGUAGGAAUGUACCCAUAACUCUGGGAUAAUCACUUGAAAAGGUGUCUAAUACCAGAUAGUCUCGCAAGAGUAAAGCUCCGGCGGUUAUGGAUCAGCCUACUGCCUAUCAGCUAGUUGGUGAGGUAAUGGCUCACCAAGGCUAUGACGGGUAGGGGACGUGAGAGCGUGACCCCCACCACUCGCACUGAGACACUGGCGAGACUCCUACGGGAGGCUGCAGUCGAGAAUCUUCGGCAAUGGGCGAAAGCCUGACCGAGCGACGCCGCGUGCAGGAGGACGCCUCUAGGGGUGUAAACUGCUUUUAUGUGGGAACAAGACUUCGGUUUGAGCGUACCACAUGAAUAAGGAGCUGCUAAUCGCG